RNAcentral lists this ribosomal RNA (625 nucleotides) under Cryocola sp. RNAcentral's name for it is "bacterial SSU rRNA". It matches the Rfam family "Bacterial small subunit ribosomal RNA", at positions 217 to 852 of the family's 1533-position model. The record is from RNAcentral. Lineage: Bacteria; Bacillati; Actinomycetota; Actinomycetes; Micrococcales; Microbacteriaceae.
GGUCAAGGAUGGACUCGCGGCCUAUCAGGUAGUUGGUGAGGUAACGGCCCACCAAGCCUACGACGGGUAGCCGGCCUGAGAGGGUGACCGGCCACACUGGGACUGAGACACGGCCCAGACUCCUACGGGAGGCAGCAGUGGGGAAUAUUGCACAAUGGGCGCAAGCCUGAUGCAGCAACGCCGCGUGAGGGAUGACGGCCUUCGGGUUGUAAACCUCUUUUAGUAGGGAAGAAGCGAAAGUGACGGUACCUGCAGAAAAAGCACCGGCUAACUACGUGCCAGCAGCCGCGGUAAUACGUAGGGUGCGAGCGUUGUCCGGAAUUAUUGGGCGUAAAGAGCUCGUAGGCGGUCUGUCGCGUCUGCUGUGAAAACCCGAGGCUCAACCUCGGGCCUGCAGUGGGUACGGGCAGACUAGAGUGCGGUAGGGGAGAAUGGAAUUCCUGGUGUAGCGGUGGAAUGCGCAGAUAUCAGGAGGAACACCGAUGGCGAAGGCAGUUCUCUGGGCCGUAACUGACGCUGAGGAGCGAAAGCGUGGGGAGCGAACAGGAUUAGAUACCCUGGUAGUCCACGCCGUAAACGUUGGGCGCUAGAUGUGGGGACCAUUCCACGGUUUCCGUGUCGCAGC